RNAcentral lists this ribosomal RNA (252 nucleotides) under uncultured bacterium. RNAcentral's name for it is "partial 16S ribosomal RNA". It matches the Rfam family "Bacterial small subunit ribosomal RNA", at positions 524 to 776 of the family's 1533-position model. The record is from RNAcentral.
UACGGGGGGGGCAAGCGUUGUUCGGAAUUACUGGGCGUAAAGGGCUCGUAGGUGGCCAACUAAGUCAUACGUGAAAUCCCUCGGCUUAACCGGGGAACUGCGUCUGAUACUGGAUGGCUUGAGGUUGGGAGAGGGAUGCGGAAUUCCAGGUGUAGCGGUGAAAUGCGUAGAUAUCUGGAGGAACACCGGCGGCGAAGGCGGCAUCCUGGACCAAUUCUGACACUGAGGAGCGAAGCCAGGGGAGCAAACGGG